This 440-nucleotide ribosomal RNA is filed under the name uncultured bacterium. Its description in RNAcentral is "partial 16S ribosomal RNA". It matches the Rfam family "Bacterial small subunit ribosomal RNA", at positions 338 to 795 of the family's 1533-position model. The record is from RNAcentral.
CCUACGGGUGGCAGCAGUGGGGGAUAUUGCACAAUGGGGGAAACCCUGAUGCAGCGACGCCGCGUGUGGGAAGACGGUCCUCUGGAUUUUAAACCACUGUCCCCAGGGACGAAGAUGCCGUUACCUGGGGAUGAAGCUCCGGCUAACUACGUGCCAGCAGCCGCGGUAUUACGUAGGGAGCGAGCGUUGUCCGGAAUUACUGGGUGAAAGGGGAGCGUAGGCGGGGAGGCAAGUUGGGUGUCAAAACUACCGGCUCAACUGGUAGUCGCACUCAAAACUGCAGCUCUUGAGUGAAGUAGAGGCAGGCGGAAUUCCUAGUGUAGCGGUGAAAUGCGUAGAUAUCAGGAGGAACACUAGUGGCGAAGGCGGCCUGCUGGGAUUUUACUGACGCUGAGGCUCGAAAGUGUGGGGAGCAAACAGGAUUAGAUACCCCUGUAGUC